GAUGAACGCUGGCGGCGUGCCUAAUACAUGCAAGUCGAGCGAACAGACGAGGAGCUUGCUCCUCUGACGUUAGCGGCGGACGGGUGAGUAACACGUGGAUAACCUACCUAUAAGACUGGGAUAACUUCGGGAAACCGGAGCUAAUACCGGAUAACAUGAUGAACCGCAUGGUUCAACAGUGAAAGACGGUCUUGCUGUCACUUAUAGAUGGAUCCGCGCCGCAUUAGCUAGUUGGUAAGGUAACGGCGUACCAAGGCAACGAUGCGUAGCCGACCUGAGAGGGUGAUCGGCCACACUGGAACUGAGACACGGUCCAGACUCCUACGGGAGGCAGCAGUAGGGAAUCUUCCGCAAUGGGCGAAAGCCUGACGGAGCAACGCCGCGUGAGUGAAGAAGGUCUUCGGAUCGUAAAACUCUGUUAUUAGGGAAGAACAAAUGUGUAAGUAACUAUGCACGUCUUGACGGUACCUAAUCAGAAAGCCACGGCUAACUACGUG
Molecule: ribosomal RNA, 497 nt
Filed under: uncultured bacterium
Lineage: Bacteria
Description: partial 16S ribosomal RNA
Rfam family: Bacterial small subunit ribosomal RNA
Source: RNAcentral